Heterocephalus glaber (naked mole-rat) is the source of this 46-nucleotide non-coding RNA. Lineage: Eukaryota; Metazoa; Chordata; Mammalia; Rodentia; Bathyergidae. The record is from Rfam.
ACAAAGGCUCUUUUCAGAGCCACCCACUGUUUCUAAGAAUACGCUG